CUACCUUUGCUCUUCCCUCUCUCUUCUUCUCUGAAAACAUGAAGCAGAUACAGUAUCAUGGAAUCCAAGUCUAAGAAGGUUCAAUCAGUAAUCACUACAACUUUUACUCAAAAGUCUGAAACAGGCAUGAUCAUAUCAAUUAAGCAUCAUAAUUUGGAACCUAUUUAGAGGCAGCACAAUGAAAUUAAGCAACAAUGAGCAAUCUGGUUUUACCUCCGGAAGCAUAUACUUCAUGUCCAUCUCUCCUUGUUUUCUUUCCACUGCCUCUGAUAUCCUCCUCAUCAUCUUCGUCAUCUUCACCUUCAUCAU
RNAcentral lists this long non-coding RNA (309 nucleotides) under Capsella grandiflora. RNAcentral describes it as "long non-coding RNA (CGRA_LNC000890)". The record is from RNAcentral. Lineage: Eukaryota; Viridiplantae; Streptophyta; Magnoliopsida; Brassicales; Brassicaceae.